RNAcentral lists this ribosomal RNA (446 nucleotides) under uncultured bacterium. RNAcentral describes it as "partial 16S ribosomal RNA". It matches the Rfam family "Bacterial small subunit ribosomal RNA", at positions 354 to 796 of the family's 1533-position model. The record is from RNAcentral.
GUAGGGAAUAUUGGACAAUGGGGGGAACCCUGAUCCAGCCAUGCCGCGUGGAGGAAGACUGCCCUCUGGGUUGUAAACUCCUUUUAUAUGGGAAGAACCGUCCUCAUUAAUGAGUGACCUGACGGUACCAUAGGAAUAAGCACCGGCUAACUCCGUGCCAGCAGCCGCGGUAAUACGGAGGGUGCAAGCGUUAUCCGGAUUCACUGGGUUUAAAGGGUGCGUAGGCGGAUAAAUAAGUCAGUGGUGAAAUCAACGGGCUCAACCUGUUAACUGCCAUUGAUACUGUGUAUCUUGAAUAUGAGAGAGGUAGGCGGAAUGUUGCAUGUAGCGGUGAAAUGCUUAGAUAUGCUACGGAACACCGAUUGCGAAGGCAGCUUACUAUUUCGUAAUUGACGCUGAGGCACGAAAGCGUGGGUAACGAACAGGAUUAGAUACCCGUGUAGUCC